Molecule: ribosomal RNA, 492 nt
Filed under: uncultured bacterium
Lineage: Bacteria
Description: partial 16S ribosomal RNA
Rfam family: Bacterial small subunit ribosomal RNA
Source: RNAcentral
AGUGAACGCUGGCGAUAGGCCUAACACAUGCAAGUCGAACGGCAGCACAGUAAGAGCUUGCUCUUACGGGUGGCGAGUGGCGGACGGGUGAGGAAUACAUCGGAAUCUACUUUUUCGUGGGGGAUAACGUAGGGAAACUUACGCUAAUACCGCAUACGACCUACGGGUGAAAGCAGGGGAUCUUCGGACCUUGCGCGAUUGAAUGAGCCGAUGUCGGAUUAGCUAGUUGGCGGGGUAAAGGCCCACCAAGGCGACGAUCCGUAGCUGGUCUGAGAGGAUGAUCAGCCACACUGGAACUGAGACACGGUCCAGACUCCUACGGGAGGCAGCAGUGGGGAAUAUUGGACAAAGGGCGCAAGCCUGAUCCAGCCAUACCGCGUGGGUGAAGAAGGCCUUCGGGUUGUAAAGCCCUUUUGUUGGGAAAGAAAAGCAGCAGGUUAAUACCCCGCUGUUCUGACGUUACCCAAAGAAUAAGCACCGGCUAACUUCGUG